RNAcentral lists this ribosomal RNA (253 nucleotides) under uncultured bacterium. RNAcentral's name for it is "partial 16S ribosomal RNA". It matches the Rfam family "Bacterial small subunit ribosomal RNA", at positions 524 to 776 of the family's 1533-position model. The record is from RNAcentral.
UACGUAGGGUGCAAGCGUUGUCCGGAAUUAUUGGGCGUAAAGAGCUCGUAGGCGGUCUGUCGCGUCGGCUGUGAAAUCCCGAGGCUCAACCUCGGGUCUGCAGUCGAUACGGGCAAACUGGAGUACUGCAGGGGAGACUGGAAUUCCUGGUGUAGCGGUGAAAUGCGCAGAUAUCAGGAGGAACACCGGUGGCGAAGGCGGGUCUCUGGGCAGUAACUGACGCUGAGGAGCGAAAGCGUGGGGAGCGAACAGG